CCUACGGUGGGCAGCAGUGAGGAAUAUUGGUCAAUGGCCGAAAGUCUGAACCAGCCAAGUAGCGUGAAGGAUGAAUGCCCCAAGGAUUGUAAACUUCUUUUAUAUGGGAAUAAAAUGUUCCACGUGUGCCAUUUUGUGUGUACCAUAUGAAUAAGCAUCGGCUAACUCCGUGCCAGCAGCCGCGGUAAUACGGAGGAUCCGAGCGUUAUCCGGAUUUAUUGGGGUUAAAGGGUGCGUAGGUGGACUGUUAAGUCAGUUGUGAAAGGUUGCGGCUCAACCGUAAAAUUGCAGUUGAAACUGGCAGUCUUGAGAACAGUAGAGGUAGGCGGAAUGCGGAGUGUAGCGGUGAAAUGCUUAGAUAUCACGAAGAACUCCGAUUGCGAAGGCAGCUCACUGGACUGCAACUGACACUGAGGCUCGAAAGUGUGGGUAUCAAACAGGAUUAGAUACCCUUGUAGUC
This 460-nucleotide ribosomal RNA is filed under the name uncultured bacterium. RNAcentral describes it as "partial 16S ribosomal RNA". It matches the Rfam family "Bacterial small subunit ribosomal RNA", at positions 338 to 795 of the family's 1533-position model. The record is from RNAcentral.